This is a long non-coding RNA of Onychostruthus taczanowskii (white-rumped snowfinch), 423 nucleotides long. RefSeq lists it as uncharacterized. NCBI's taxonomy places the organism in Eukaryota, Metazoa, Chordata, Aves, Passeriformes, Passeridae. The record is from RefSeq and is a predicted model, not a curated record. The transcript has 2 exons.
CUGUGGAGUCAGAUCCUCCUCUUCAGCCUGUCUGGCUGGGGCUGGAGGUCAGCUCUGACUAGGGAAGGAGAGCUGGGCAGACAAAAAGGGGCUCUGUUUGCCUUUCCAGUCCAGGAUGAGAAGAGAAACAGCAGGAGAGAACUCCAGGCUUUAUUUAUGCUCAUUAAGUGCCGAGGAGAAGCAACCCAGGAUGGGGUUGAUUCAGCCAGCGAGGACCAUCGCCCCAGGCAAGGGAGGAUGGCUGGGAUGUGUCAGGAAGAGGUCCCACCCUUCUGCACCCAGGAGCCCAGUGAAAAUCCUGUUGGAUCAUGGUGAAAAACAUGUUUUUUCCCAUUCGUAGAAGAUGUCUUUGCCUUUUUUCCUUGGAUUUCCUUUCUUCUGGGUUUUUUUCCAUGGAAAUAAAAGUGCAGGGAGGGGAAUGGA